AAAAAUCUCAUUGCAAAGUAUGACAAAAUGUCAUAGUAUCGUAUGAUAAAAAGGUCAUAGUAUAGUAUGAUAAAAAUGUCAGUAUAGUAUGAUAAAAAUGUCAUAGUAUCAUAUGAUAAAAAUGUCAUAGUAUAGAAUGAUAAAAAUGUCAGUAUAGUAUGAUAAAAAUGUCAUAGUAUAGAAUGAUUAGAAAAAUAAUAGUAUAGUAUGAUAAUUAUAUCAUGGUAUAGUAAGAUAAAAUGUCAGUAUAGUAUAAUAAAAAGAUCAUAGUAUAGUACAAUAAAAAUGUCAAAGUAUAGUUUGAAAAAAGUCAUAUUAUAGUAAGUUAAAAAAUGUCAAAGUAUAGUAUGAUAAAAAUGUCAUAGUAUUGUAUAAUAAAUAAAUGUCAUAGUAUUGUAUGAUAAAAAAGGCUUGGGAAAAAAAAGAUACAAAAUGUUAGUAUACUUUGAUAAAAAAAUUCUAAUUUUAGUUUGAAAAAAGUCAUAGUAUAGUAUGUUAAAAAAUGUAAUGUUUUAGUAUGAUUAAAAAUUUUAAAUUUUAGUUUGAAGAAAAGUCAUAGUAUAGUAUGUUAAAAAAUCUAUAGUAUAGUAUGAUUAAAAAUUUAAAAUCUAGUCUGAUAAAAGUCAUAGUUUAGUAUGUUGGUAAAAGGCCAUAGAAUAGUAUGAUAAAAAUUUUCAAAUUUUAGUGUGAAAAAAAAAGUCUUGGUAUAGUAUGUUAAAAAUUGUCAUAGUAUACUACAUUUAAAAAAUGUCAUAGAAUAGUUUGUUAAAAAAAUGAAAAUUUUGAUUUGGAAAAAAGUCAUUAAGUUUGUUAAAAAAUGGUAUAGUAUAAUAUGAUAAAAAAAAUUCAAAUUUUAGUUUAAAAAAACGUCAUAGUAUAGUAUGUUAAAAAUGUCAUAGUAUAGUGUGAUAAAAAAUAAAUAAAUUUUAGUUUGAAAAAAAGAUCAUAGUGUAGUAUGUUAAAAAAUGUCAGUUAAGAAUAAGAAAUUUUAAAUUUUUAUUUGAAAAAAAGUCAUAGUAUGGUAUGUCAAAAAGUCAUAGUAUAGUCUGUUAAAAAAUUCAUAGUAUAGUAUGUUAAAAAAUUGACAGCCUGACAGCCUUAUAUUCAUACUGUAAACCAAACAGCCAAUAGUAAGACUGUGCUUUCCUCUUUAGCUGAUGCUUGCUGUUUUUCUUUUUCUGAGUAAUUUCUGUCUUAUAAAUAUGUAAUAUUUGACUUGUGGUAAAAUCUACAUCAUGCGCUAACUACCAAAACAAACACAAACACACAGCUUUAUGUAAUCCGACAUUAGGAAAACUUUGGUCUUUGUUCUGAGAUACUGAUCAUAUAUCCAGUAUGUGUAUUUAUUAACAAGCAUAUUCAACAAUCUAAACUGUUCAGAAAAAUUUAAGAGUGGUGGAUGAUAUAAAGAAACAGGAGUGGACUUUGAGUCUGACCCUGGAUCAGCAGGGCUUUCGAUCACUGCUGCUCUGUUUGGAGGCAGAAAUACGAGGCUGGACGAAGCACCUUGGUGAAGAUUAUGAGACUGCACCAAUCAUCCAUCACUCUUAGGCUUGUCCUUGGAAUACAUAAUGUAAUGAUAAUCUGAUCCAGUAUGCAAAUGAAGGCACAGCGGGGUGACUGCAGGGAGAGCAGUCCACCUGCCCCACAGCAGAGUCGCCCCUAAGAACUGAUCUGCUGUCAGAACAAAAACAGACUGCAUAAAGGCAUGAAAACUAAAACAACCGAGUUUGAAUGGCACUUCAGUGUCCUGAAAUCAGUUGAUCAACGAUCUCACCUAGAGGGAGAGUCUGUGGUUUAGUUUUCUUUUAGAUUAACAGCAGUUUUACCCGCAUGUGCUCUCACCGGUGUUUGUCUGCUCACAGUUUCAGCAGGAGAUGUUCUGGUUUCUAUUUUUGAUCCAUGUCAGGGCUGGUCCAGGCUCAAACCCAUAGAUUUAAUGCACCAUGACUGUCACGCCAUCUUAACUAAUUAGACUGGGUGUCUGGCACUGCAGAGAGAGUUUCGACACACAUGAAGAGAUGUUGAUGUUGUGAUGGGAAAUCUUCAUGUGGACGAGGUUUGGAAACAUUUUCUCUUACACCCACUUGCACCCGUUGACCCUGGAGCCACAGUAACCCACACAUGGGGGACAUACUGUCAAUUUGGGGCCUUGAGAAAGUCCUGUUUGCAUGAUACAAACCUUUAAGUAUGAGAUCUAACAGAUGUAUUUGGUCAGACUCAAAUUCCCAAAGACCACGUCUCUGUAGUCUAUGCAGGCUUACGGUUCAACCAGCAAAUAUUCAGCCAAAUCCUCAUCCACAAAAACCAGAAUACUUUCAACGCCCCAAAUCUUCAGCCACAUCAACAGAAUCUAAAACCCAAAUUCCAUGAGCGCUGUGAUGCUGCAGAAAAUGGGGAUUUAAAAAACAGAAUUUGACCAUUUAAAUUCUACCAUUUAUUAAAAAUAGUGUCAGAACAUCAAAUCUAAUACUGACAAUGACAUGGUGUAGUAUAAAAAAUGUCAA
Molecule: non-coding RNA, 2507 nt
Organism: Xyrichtys novacula (pearly razorfish)
Lineage: Eukaryota; Metazoa; Chordata; Actinopteri; Labriformes; Labridae
Source: the annotation of a GenBank genome assembly